This 208-nucleotide ribosomal RNA is filed under the name Pseudomonas aeruginosa. RNAcentral describes it as "partial 16S ribosomal RNA". The stretch from base 41 to 208 matches the Rfam family "Bacterial small subunit ribosomal RNA", at positions 1 to 168 of the family's 1533-position model. The record is from RNAcentral. Lineage: Bacteria; Pseudomonadati; Pseudomonadota; Gammaproteobacteria; Pseudomonadales; Pseudomonadaceae.
UGAGCCAAGUUUAGGGUUUUCUCAAAACCCAAGCAGUAUUGAACUGAAGAGUUUGAUCAUGGCUCAGAUUGAACGCUGGCGGCAGGCCUAACACAUGCAAGUCGAGCGGAUGAAGGGAGCUUGCUCCUGGAUUCAGCGGCGGACGGGUGAGUAAUGCCUAGGAAUCUGCCUGGUAGUGGGGGAUAACGUCCGGAAACGGGCGCUAAUA